GAAUGCUCUGGGCACCUGGCUGUAGAAGGAAGAAUAGAAAUUGCGAUAACAAAAUCUUAAAUAGAAUACUAACAAUGUUCUAAUUAGACUAUUAUAAUGGUAAACAAACGUAAUCAAAUUCAAAACAACUCAAAGAAAUUUCAAACAAACAAUAAAAUUCUUAAAGAAAUAUUAGAAUGAUUACAAAUUUUACUCAAAUAUAUGUCAAUUCAACCUUAAUUUAAUUCUUGUUAAAACCCUAUUGAAUUUCAUUCAACUUUAGACCAAACCUAAUUAAAUCUUAAACCCUAAUAAUUCCUAAAUCCUAAGUCAAAUCCUAAACAAAUCUUAAAUUAAACCCUAUUCCAAACCCUAAAUCCUAAACCAAAUCCUAAACCAAAUCCUAAUCCAACCCUAAAUCCUAAAUCAAACCUUAAAUCAAAUCCUAACCAAACUCUAAUCCAAACCCUAAAUCAAACCCUAACCAAACUCUAAACCCUAAUCCAAAUCCUAAUCCAACCCUAAACUCUAAUCCAAAUCCUAAACUCUAAACCAAACCUUAAAUCAAAUCCUAACCAAAUUCUAAAUCCUAAUCCAAACCCUAAUCCAAACCCUAGCCAAACCCUAAUCCAAAUCCUAAUCCAAAUCCUAAUCCAAAUCCUAAAUCAAACCCUAACCAAAUUCUAAACCCUAAUCCAAACCCUAAUCCAAACCCUAAUCUAGAUCCUAAUCCAAACCCUAAACCGAACCCUAGCCA
RNAcentral lists this long non-coding RNA (736 nucleotides) under Physcomitrium patens. RNAcentral describes it as "long non-coding RNA (PPAT_LNC003060)". Lineage: Eukaryota; Viridiplantae; Streptophyta; Bryopsida; Funariales; Funariaceae. The record is from RNAcentral.